AAAUUCCAAUCGAACUUGGAGAUAGCUGGUUCUCUCCGAAAUAGCUUUAGGGCUAGCCUCAAGUGAUGAUUAUUGGAGGUAGAGCACUGUUUGGACGAGGGGCCCCUCUCGGGUUACCGAAUUCAGAUAAACUCCGAAUGCCAAUUAAUUUAACUUGGGAGUCAGAACAUGGGUGAUAAGGUCCGUGUUCGAAAGGGAAACAGCCCAGACCACCAGCUAAGGUCCCAAAAUAUAUGUUAAGUGGAAAAGGAUGUGGCGUUGCCCAGACAACUAGGAUGUUGGCUUAGAAGCAGCCAUCAUUUAAAGAGUGCGUAAUAGCUCACUAGUCGAGUGACACUGCGCCGAAAAUGUACCGGGGCUAAACAUAUUACCGAAGCUGUGGAUUGUCCUUUGGACAAUGGUAGGAGAGCGUUCUAAGGGCGUCGAAGCAUGAUCGCAAGGACAUGUGGAGCGCUUAGAAGUGAGAAUGCCGGUGUGAGUAGCGAAAGACGGGUGAGAAUCCCGUCCACCGAUUGACUAAGGUUUCCA
Molecule: ribosomal RNA, 528 nt
Filed under: Staphylococcus epidermidis
Lineage: Bacteria; Bacillati; Bacillota; Bacilli; Caryophanales; Staphylococcaceae
Description: partial 23S ribosomal RNA
Rfam family: Bacterial large subunit ribosomal RNA
Source: RNAcentral